Molecule: ribosomal RNA, 775 nt
Filed under: uncultured Neocallimastigales
Lineage: Eukaryota; Fungi; Neocallimastigomycota; Neocallimastigomycetes; Neocallimastigales
Description: partial large subunit ribosomal RNA
Rfam family: Eukaryotic large subunit ribosomal RNA
Source: RNAcentral
UACUAGAGUAGCACUCGCAUAUCAAUAAGCGGAGGAAAAGAAACUAACAAGGAUUCCCCUAGUAACGGCGAGUGAAAGCGGGAAGAGCUCAAAUUUGAAAUCUUAAAGGGUUUCCCUUUACGAAUUGUAGUUUAAAGAAGUGUUUUCUGUUGAGGUUUUGGUAAAAGUUCUUUGGAAUAGGACAUCAUAGAGGGUGAGAAUCCCGUAUUUGACCUUUACUUUCAACUUUGUGAUACACUUUCAAAGAGUCGGAUUGUUUGGGAAUGCAGUCCAAAAUGGGUGGUAAAUUUCAUCUAAAGCUAAAUAUUGGCGAGAGACCGAUAGCGAACAAGUACCGUGAGGGAAAGAUGAAAAGAACUUUGAAAAGAGAGUUAAACAGUACGUGAAAUUGUCAAAAGGGAAGCGUUUGACACCAGUGUUGUUUUUCUGAAAAUCAAUUAAAGAACUGUUUAUGCUAAGUUGUUUAGACUUUAUCAGCUAUCUGCUUAGUUUUGAGCUUUUCUUUAAUGCACUUUUCAGUUAACAAGUCAACAUCAAUUUCUUUUGCUGUAAAAAAGCUUGAGGAAGGUGGCUUGAGAUUCGUCUUAAGUGUUUAUAGCCUCUUGCCUAUGCAGUCGGAGAGAUUGAGGUCUGCAGCGUAGAUCCUUCGGGGCUAAAUGCAUUUGUGCUAAGUUAUAGCAUUUUAUAGACAACUUGUUGACUAUGAUUUGUCUUGUAGCUUACUCGCUUAUGUUAUUUUACCUACGCUUAGGAUGUUGAACUCUAUCACACACAG